UCAAGUAUACCCAAAACCCCUAGAUUCAUCUUUAAAGGAUGUACGGUCAAGGAGGCGAAGCUGAUCCACCUUCAUAUGGGGGUGGUCAUGGUGGUUAUGGAGGGGACGCUGGUUACGGUGGCCGUGGUUGCGGCAGAGGGGGAGGUGGUGGUUACGGUCGCAGUUCUCAAAAUCGCGGAGGCGGUGGAGGCUAUCAAGGAGGAGACCGUGGUGGAAGAGGUGGCGGUGGAAGAGGUGGUGGCCGUGGAGGAGGCAGAGAUGGUGAUUGGCUUUGCCCGAACCCCAGCUGUGGGAACUUGAACUUUGCAAGAAGAGUUGAGUGUAACAAAUGCGGUGCAUCCUCUCCUGUGGGUUCCGGUGAUCGUGGUAGUAGUGGAUACAACAGAGGAGGUGGUGGUGGGGUAUAUGAUGCUAAUCGUGGUGGUAGAGGAGAUGGGGUGAGAGGUGGAUAUGAUAUUGGGAGGAGUAACAACUAUGGAGGCAGAGGGGGAAAUUAUGAUAAUAAAAGUGGUGGUGGUAGAAGUGGUUCCUAUGGAGGUAGUCAAGGCGGGGAAGAUGGUGGGUAUGGUCAUGUUCCUCCUUCGGCGCCCAGUUCUUAUAGUGGCGGUGCUGGUGGAAGUUACUCACCACCUCCUAAUGCAUAUGAUGGGAAUACAAAUUCUGGAAUGGGUUCAGUUCCUCCACCUACAAGCUAUACUGGUGGACCAACAUCAUACCCUCCGUCUUAUGGAGGACCUGCAGGUGGUUAUGGUGAUGAGGGUUUGAAUGAUGCAAGGACCGGUGGUUGGGGUGGACAUCCUGGUGGAUGUGACAGUGAUUAUGUGUCUGGUGGUCCUCGACAUCAGGGAGGUGGUUGUGGUGGUCCUUUUGAUGCUCCAGGUAAGAUCAAGCAGUGUGAUGACAACUGCAGGGAUUCUUGUGACAAUACCAGAAUCUACAUAUCAAGUUUGCCACCUGAUGCUACUAUUGAAGAAUUAAGAGACCUUUUUGGCGGAAUUGGACAAGUUGGAAGAAUUAAGCAGAAGCGUGGCUAUAAAGAUCAGUGGCCAUGGAACAUAAAAAUAUACACUGAUGAGAAAGGAAAUCCAAAAGGUGACGCGGUUUUGACUUAUGAAGAUCCUCAAGCUGCACACUCUGCUGGCGGUUUCUUUAACAAUCAUGUCAUGAGAGGCUAUACAAUUAGUGUGGCAAUGGCUGAGAAGACUGCCCCUAAAGUAUAUGAUUAUGGAGGCGGUAGAGGUGGCUAUGGCGGUGGUGGUGGCCGUGGGGACAGGCACAGGGAUGGAGGUUCUGGGCCACAUAGACAUCACUAUGGUGGAAACCGUUCACGUCCAUACUGAGAAACUUUCAGCUUCGAGUAUUUUAUGUACUAAGAAUUAUGAUCUAAGGGUUGUAGUUUGUCCCCAUUCACAGGGUUGUUCUUGAACAGGAGACCGAGAGAAGCAAGUGGAAUAACUUCAAAUUGCUUCCUGCUAAGGUAGGUUGAUAAUUUCAGGUGAGUGCUGCUCUUUCAAAUCACAUAUAUACCCUUUUAUUUGGGUAUAACCCCUUGGUGGGGGAUUUGAUUUUGUUGCUCUUCUGCCCAUCAUUUAAUGCGGUGAAACAAACUUGUGAAUUAUAUAAGCAUGUGCUUGCUGUUAUAUACGAGGGUUUUGCCUCCCAUUCUGGGAAGUAGUUUAUAUUAGCCACUUUUGAAAAUUUGAAUUCAUUAAAUGUUGGACAAUUGAAGAAACAGAUUUGGAGCAAUGUAUGACAGCAUAUACUGAUCAC
RNA transcript from Hibiscus syriacus, 1770 nucleotides. It is a transcript of the gene named transcription initiation factor TFIID subunit 15b-like, with no coding region annotated. The transcript is spliced from 7 exons. Lineage: Eukaryota; Viridiplantae; Streptophyta; Magnoliopsida; Malvales; Malvaceae. The record is from RefSeq and is a predicted model, not a curated record.